UACUAUGGCAGAGUCAUAGUUGAUUGAUAUAUUAAAAUAUGAUAUUGUUGAUUAUUAAUUUUAUUGCAGUGUUAGAUAGUUUAGUUACUCAUUGUUUCUAUUUCUAGCACUAUUGUUCUAGUAUCAUUCUCUUUUCCCUUUGGUGAACCUCUUUUCUUUCAUAUCAUUUUGGAGGGAAAAUUCUAACCUUUUGAUUGGUCAAUCUUCAGGUCAGAGGCCUUACUAUAGGUUUUCAUUGUUUCUGGUAGAUUUAGACUGCAGACAUAUUGGAAUGCAGUGAAAAUUACCUGCUUGAUAUAUUCAACUCUGACAUUCAUGAUAUUUAUAUUUUACUUCUUGGAUUUUCAAUAUUCUUAUAUUCAGGUCAGUUAAUA
Molecule: long non-coding RNA, 374 nt
Filed under: Mytilus galloprovincialis (Mediterranean mussel)
Lineage: Eukaryota; Metazoa; Mollusca; Bivalvia; Mytilida; Mytilidae
Source: RNAcentral